CCCCUAGAUGUUCUGGGCCGCACGCGCGCUACACUGAUUCAUGCAACAAGUUUUGUCCUUGGCUGAUAGGCCUGGGUAAUCUUUGAACGUGAAUCGUGAUGGGGAUAGAUGAUUGCAAUUAUUCAUCUUCAACGAGGAAUUCCUAGUAAACGCAAGUCAUCAGCUUGCAUUGAUUACGUCCCUGCCCUUUGUACACACCGCCCGUCGCACCUACCGAUUGAAUGGUCCGGUGAAAUCUUCGGAUCUGAGAGAUGUCUGAUUAAUUUCGGACGCCUUUUGGAAAAGUUGUUUAAACCUUACCAUUUAGAGGAAGGUGAAGUCGUANCA
Molecule: ribosomal RNA, 327 nt
Filed under: uncultured eukaryote
Lineage: Eukaryota
Description: partial 18S ribosomal RNA
Rfam family: Eukaryotic small subunit ribosomal RNA
Source: RNAcentral